GACGAACGCUGGCGGCGUGCCUAACACAUGCAAGUCGAACGGUAAGGCCCUUCGGGGUACACGAGUGGCGAACGGGUGAGUAACACGUGGGUGAUCUGCCCUGCACUUCGGGAUAAGCCUGGGAAACUGGGUCUAAUACCGGAUAGGACCACUGCCUGCAUGGGUGGUGGUGGAAAGCUUUUGCGGUGUGGGAUGGGCCCGCGGCCUAUCAGCUUGUUGGUGGGGUGAUGGCCUACCAAGGCGACGACGGGUAGCCGGCCUGAGGGGGUGACCGGCCACACUGGGACUGAGAUACGGCCCAGACUCCUACGGGAGGCAGCAGUGGGGAAUAUUGCACAAUGGGCGCAAGCCUGAUGCAGCGACGCCGCGUGAGGGAUGACGGCCUUCGGGUUGUAAACCUCUUUCAGCACCGACGAAGCGCAAGUGACGGUAGGUGCAGAAGAAGGACCGGCCAACUACGUGCCAGCCGCCGCCGCAG
This 478-nucleotide ribosomal RNA is filed under the name uncultured bacterium. RNAcentral's name for it is "partial 16S ribosomal RNA". It matches the Rfam family "Bacterial small subunit ribosomal RNA", at positions 28 to 523 of the family's 1533-position model. The record is from RNAcentral.